This 497-nucleotide ribosomal RNA is filed under the name uncultured bacterium. Its description in RNAcentral is "partial 16S ribosomal RNA". It matches the Rfam family "Bacterial small subunit ribosomal RNA", at positions 28 to 507 of the family's 1533-position model. The record is from RNAcentral.
GAUGAACGCUGGCGGCGUGCCUAAUACAUGCAAGUCGAGCGAACAGACGAGGAGCUUGCUCCUCUGACGUUAGCGGCGGACGGGUGAGUAACACGUGGAUAACCUACCUAUAAGACUGGGAUAACUUCGGGAAACCGGAGCUAAUACCGGAUAAUAUAUUGAACCGCAUGGUUCCAUAGUGAAAGACGGUUUUGCUGUCACUUAUAGAUGGAUCCGCGCCGCAUUAGCUAGUUGGUAAGGUAACGGCUUACCAAGGCAACGAUGCGUAGCCGACCUGAGAGGGUGAUCGGCCACACUGGAACUGAGACACGGUCCAGACUCCUACGGGAGGCAGCAGUAGGGAAUCUUCCGCAAUGGGCGAAAGCUUGACGGAGCAACGCCGCGUGAGUGAUGAAGGUCUUCGGAUCGUAAAACUCUGUUAUUAGGGAAGAACAAAUGUGUAAGUAACUAUGCACGUCUUGACGGUACCUAAUCAGAAAGCCACGGCUAACUACGUG